UACGAAGGGAGCUAGCGUUGUUCGGAAUCACUGGGCGUAAAGCGCACGUAGGCGGAUGUGUCAGUCAGGGGUGAAAUCCCGGAGCUCAACUUCGGAACUGCCCUUGAUACAGCACGUCUUGAGUCCGGAAGAGGUGGGUGGAAUUCCUAUUGUAGAGGUGAAAUUCGUAGAUAUUAGGAAGAACACCGGUGGCGAAGGCGGCCCACUGGUCCGGUACUGACGCUGAGGUGCGAAAGCGUGGGGAGCAAACAGG
Molecule: ribosomal RNA, 253 nt
Filed under: uncultured bacterium
Lineage: Bacteria
Description: partial 16S ribosomal RNA
Rfam family: Bacterial small subunit ribosomal RNA
Source: RNAcentral